Equus caballus (horse) is the source of this 1824-nucleotide non-coding RNA. NCBI's taxonomy places the organism in Eukaryota, Metazoa, Chordata, Mammalia, Perissodactyla, Equidae. The record is from RefSeq and is a predicted model, not a curated record.
AGGACCAAUCUCCCUCACCAAAAAAAAUAAUAAUAAUAAAAUAAAAUGAGGUAAUCCUGUCUCAAUUGUAGCUAUAGAUUGCAAAUCUUGUGUCAGUUCGAAUUUCUGCCAGCAGAUACUAAUGACUUUACUGAAAGCAGAAGAUAUUUAGAAUGGAAAUGGAAGUAUAAACACAGCCCUAGUUGAUGAAUACACUCAUUGUACUUCCUUAUUAUGACACUAGCAAAUAUUCAGUCUUUAAGUUGAUCCGUGAUAUAUUCAACAGUACCACGGGAGCAUAAUUUUUUAAAUGACUUGUCCAAAGUUUCUUAUCAAUCCAUCCUAGCAACAGAGCCGAGUGUUAGAGUUAUGGCUGCCUGAGUUACAACAGCUGCCCUGGGAAUCUUGUCCAAACAGCAAGUUAACUGCUAUUCACAGAAAUAUCUGGUCUUUCCCGCCCCUAAAGAUACACAAAAGAUUUUUGUCAUUCUUGGCAUUGGUCAAUAGAAGUAGCAAGACAUGCCAGCAGAACUCUAAAGGCAGAAUGUCCUUCCACCUGUUUUAUGCUGUAAGACAGACUUCCAAGUGCGAGGCGGUGUGGAGGGCUGUUUCCUUGAAUGGCAGCUGAAUGCACCAGCAGGAUCCUUGGCAGCGAUGCCCAGGCACUGAAGCUGGGCAUUCAGGAGAGCUAAAUGAAGAAAAGAAACUUGAGCAAACUACUUCCUGGAACACCGAGAACCUGAUUGGGAAAUUAAGAAGUACCAGAUUCUCUCUAUUCUCCCACCAGCCAAGAAAAUAGUGUUACUGCUUUAUUACGCUCUUGCUUGAGAAGUUUUUCCCCAUCCUAAAGUAACAACUUCAUACCACAAGUCAAGCAGAAGCAUGGUGGAAGGGUUCAUCUGGGGAGACAAGUGGCUUGUUCUACAUCUCAAAGGGACACCUCCUUAGGUGAGAGGUAUUGGAUGCACCAGCUUGCCUGUUGACCAUUCUCUUGUGAUGAAAGGUCUGGCCUUUGUCUGCCUGGCAGACAAAAAUCUUUCACUCAGCAGGACACCUAGACAGGCAGGAAUAACUGCCACAGUCAAGCACUCAGUACCAGUAAGGAGGCUGAACUGAUAGCAAAAGACCUGGAAGUCACAGGCUUUUGUUAACUCUGCACUGUCUGCCUGGUGCCCACUGGAACGCUAGUUUCCAGCCUAGAAACCUAGCAGCUUGGGAAAGCGACACCCUCCGUCUGAAGCGCAGGAGAGGAUUCCUCCAGCUAUUUUCAACUUUUCAGGAAGCUUAAAAGUAAUUGUUUGUCUCCAGCGAUAAGGGAGACCACCCCCGACCCCCUGAAUCCAGAAUACAGAGUUUCUUUGGCCUGUGGUAUCGGGGUGACCCAGAGGCCCCUAACCCAAGACCAGCAGCAGGGCUCCCAGUGAGCUUGGGGGAAAAGAGGAGGCCCCACAGCAACGCCACUUGGAGCCUGUGGACAGCCCCCAACUCCUGACCGGCCCUGCUUUGCUCUCGAAGAACAUCUUUUUCUGGAGAUCUCGGCUGCGCCAGAGGCCUGACUUUGGUGUGGAGCUGUGGCAAGAUGUGUGACCUCAACUGAAGACAGGGCUCCCUCCUUCCCAGACCUCCCCAGGCUCUUUUCUAGUCAUGGCCUGAGCUGGGGCAUGAUGGAGACUUCAGCCUACUUCCUUCCCUCUACCUCUGUGCCAAGCCUCCAGGGCCAGAUCAAAGAGCUUCCUCUCUGAGUCUCAGGUUCCCCAUCCACGAAAUGGAGAGCUGACGACCUACCUCCCAGGGGUUUGUGCGGAUGGCCUAAGCUAAUGUAAUAAAGCGACUGCCCAUGAUACC